Molecule: long non-coding RNA, 802 nt
Organism: Harmonia axyridis
Lineage: Eukaryota; Metazoa; Arthropoda; Insecta; Coleoptera; Coccinellidae
Exons: 2
Source: RefSeq, a predicted model, not a curated record
UGUGAAAAUUGCCCCAGAGUAUCUGCAACAUCAAAUUGUCUAAUUGUGUUUAAUGUGUUGCCUAAAUAUCGUAUUUUGAUUUUCCGCAUUUCAUUCCUUAUCGUAAAGGUACCAUAUGUUGAAGAUUAUUCCCGAAUGUUCACUCUUGGCAUUUUUCAAUUCGAUUUUGAAACUCUGAAUAGCUUGUGCGUAUAUGGAGGUUAUUUGCUGUUUCUUGUGAAAAUCCAAAUUUUGGGAUAAAGAUAACCGUCUAUAAUUCAACUAUUGCUGAUUUGAUUGUUGGAAUAGCAAUAUUACCCUUUUUGGGGAUUAAAAACGUACUUCGGCUACGAAGAGCAUUCACUUUGAAAGGCCACCCAACAACUUGAGGCCUUUUUAUUUCAUGAGUAUUCCUUUCAUUCCUGUUUCGGACUGAACACAUUUCUACGGAUUCUGGCUCUUCGAUUCUGAAACGAACUUCAUAAACAAAAUUCUCGUACCUAUUUCCCCAUCUGAAGAAAGGAAAAGCAUCUUGGAAGGAUUUUCAACAUUGUGAAUUGGUUGGGAUUCUCGAAUUGGUAAUUUCGUCGAAUAUACAGGACGCCUGGUAUGUAGAAAGAAUUUCUUUUGAUGUUGACGUCACAGGAAGCCAUUUGCAAGAAAAGGGAAUACGUAUUGUUUUGGUCAAUUAUACCUUUUGAAGUGGAAAGUUAAAGGACUUGUUCUCACAUUCAUUCAGAAAACAUCAGAUAUUGUUAUCAUUCCGUUCAUAAACUGUCCCAUAGAGAAAAUUUCAAAACUCAAUACCUCAGAUUGUAUAUUU